Molecule: ribosomal RNA, 426 nt
Filed under: Boana calcarata group sp. ABGD cluster 17
Lineage: Eukaryota; Metazoa; Chordata; Amphibia; Anura; Hylidae
Description: partial large subunit ribosomal RNA
Rfam family: Bacterial large subunit ribosomal RNA
Source: RNAcentral
CUUGCUAAAAUAUAAGAGGUCCAGCCUGCCCAGUGACCCAGUUCAACGGCCGCGGUAUCCUAACCGUGCGAAGGUAGCGUAAUCACUUGUUCUUUAAAUGGGGACUAGUAUGAAUGGCAUCACGAGGGUUGAACUGUCUCCUUUCUCUAAUCAGUGAAACUAAUCUCCCCGUGAAGAAGCGGGAAUCAUUUUAUAAGACGAGAAGACCCUAUGGAGCUUAAAACAAAUUGACACCUGCUUCCACCUACUUCAAUUCCUGAAUAAAUAUACAAAAUAUAGCAUCAUUGAUCAAUAGUUUUAGAUUGGGGUGAUCAUGGAGCAAAAAACAACCUCCACGACGAAAAGGAAUAUCCCCCUGAGCCAAAAGCCACAACUUUAAGCACUAAAAAAUUAACGCAUCUUGACCCAAUUUUUUGAGCAACGAAC